Molecule: ribosomal RNA, 471 nt
Filed under: uncultured organism
Description: partial 16S ribosomal RNA
Rfam family: Bacterial small subunit ribosomal RNA
Source: RNAcentral
CACUCCUACGGGAGGCAGCAGUGGGGAAUUUUGGACAAUGGGCGAAAGCCUGAUCCAGCAAUGCCGCGUGUGUGAAGAAGGCCUUCGGGUUGUAAAGCACUUUUGUCCGGAAAGAAAUCCUUGGCUCUAAUACAGUCGGGGGAUGACGGUACCGGAAGAAUAAGCACCGGCUAACUACGUGCCAGCAGCCGCGGUAAUACGUAGGGUGCGAGCGUUAAUCGGAAUUACUGGGCGUAAAGCGUGCGCAGGCGGUUUGCUAAGACCGAUGUGAAAUCCCCGGGCUCAACCUGGGAACUGCAUUGGUGACUGGCAGGCUAGAGUAUGGCAGAGGGGGGUAGAAUUCCACGUGUAGCAGUGAAAUGCGUAGAGAUGUGGAGGAAUACCGAUGGCGAAGGCAGCCCCCUGGGCCAAUACUGACGCUCAUGCACGAAAGCGUGGGGAGCAAACAGGAUUAGAAACCCGAGUAGUCCC